ACCACCAGUGUUAUCAUUAAGUCUCACCUUCAUGACAUCAUCCAGUUAUGUCCAAAGGCCUCAUUUCUAAAAGCCAGGAUGAUCGGAAGAUUAUUUCCAACCUAGAACAUUGGAGAAAACGCAUUCAAACCAUGACAAGGGAUAAAUGGAGAGUGACCAGCACAUAGAUGACCCUGAAGGCAAGACUCAGUCGGGAGACUGCAAGUAAUCCAUUAAGUGGCCACCAUGGACAUGAGCUUGAGAAGGGAGGUAAGAAUCCGUCAGAGACUAGGCACUGAAGAUAGAUGGUGUAAAAGUUCUGUUCUCUGCUCCACAUAAGUGUGGAUGACAAAAAGCAAGAGAAAGAAUGAUGUGCAGGCCACAGUGAUGGCCACUGGAAGAAUCGUUUGCAUCUACAGCUCUGAGACGGUGCUAUCCGGGCUGGUGCCGUGUAGGACAAAUUGUGCAAGCGAACGCGGAGGCCUUGCCAACUCAUUAGCUACAUUUUGAGAGCAUUUCGGUGACAGGACAAAGAUGAAGAAUGGUCUACGUAGAUUUGCUGAUUAAUAUUCUUCACAAGUACACUUAAUGAAGAAAGAAGCCAUCGAAAAACCUGGCACGUCCUUGCCAUCAUUAACAAAUCUAGAGGGCAGAGCACCAGAAGGCUCUAUAACCUCAGUGUUAUGAAUUCUACUGAAAGAACACACUGCCUAGUUUGUUUUCCCGGACUUAAAUAAGGGGAAGUUGAGCACUCAUCCUCCAAACCAUGACUGUCUAGAAAAUAAGGGUUAUUCUCCGCCUGAAUAUCCCCAACAGAAUUAUUAGUGAUGAUGUUCGAUCUUAACUUUCAACUUGAUGGACCCUAGGCUCACCGAGGUGACCAGCCUCUGGGCAGGCCUAGGAGAGAUUUCCAGAUUAUGUAAGCAGAGUUUGUAGAUAAGGAAAUGAAGGCUCAAAAGACAUUAAGGAAUGCAGCAAGAUCACGGAACAAGGAAAUGACAGAGCUAGGAUGAGAGAGCAGCUGUCAAUUUUCAAGAGGAGGAAAGUGGAGUUAUUUGAUUCUUUAUUGAG
Non-coding RNA from Myodes glareolus (Bank vole), 1050 nucleotides. The record is from RefSeq and is a predicted model, not a curated record. NCBI's taxonomy places the organism in Eukaryota, Metazoa, Chordata, Mammalia, Rodentia, Cricetidae.